This 253-nucleotide ribosomal RNA is filed under the name uncultured bacterium. Its description in RNAcentral is "partial 16S ribosomal RNA". It matches the Rfam family "Bacterial small subunit ribosomal RNA", at positions 524 to 776 of the family's 1533-position model. The record is from RNAcentral.
UACGUAGGGCGCAAGCGUUGUCCGGAAUUAUUGGGCGUAAAGAGCUCGUAGGCGGUCUGUCGCGUCGGAUGUGAAAGCCCGGGGCUUAACCCCGGGUCUGCAUUCGAUACGGGCAGACUAGAGUGUGGUAGGGGAGAUCGGAAUUCCUGGUGCAGCGGUGAAAUGCGCAGAUAUCAGGAGGAACGCCGGUGGCGAAGGCGGAUCUCUGGGCCAUUACUGACGCUGAGGAGCGAAAGCGUGGGGAGCGAACAGG